CUACAUGCCAGGUACUGUGCUAAGACAUGAGAAUACAUAGUGACAGCUAAAAAUAACAGUCAGUCUUUCUUUCAGCACUCACCACGUGCCAGGCUAAAUGUUUUAUGUGUGUUACAACUGGAAGGAUUCACAACUGGGGGGCUUUGGGGAGAAAACGCAGAAAAAAAAAAAAAAAGAUUGGCAACAGUUGUUAGCUCAGGUGCCAAUCUUAAAACAAACAAAAAAAACCUAUACGAUACAGCAGACCAGCUCUCCCUCCCAGAGAGGUGUGCUCUGCGUGUCCCGGGAGAUUUGCGAGAGGGGCUCUGCUUGGGGAAGUGUGGAGGAAGCGUUUGAGCCGGGCCUUGCGAGAUUUCAUCUGCAGGGGACGCAGAUGGGUUCCAGGUUGAAGAAGCAGCAUUUGCAAAGGUGCAGAAGCCCAAGAGGAAGUAUGUGUCCCAGGUGGUGACGUCAAGGCUCACCAGGCGACGCCAUCAUGCCCACUGCCUUCGGGGGCCUCCCAUAUGGUGGGCAGCUCCCUGGAGUGGGUGGACUGGAGCCAGCCCGCCUGCACUUAGCCCACAUCUCCCACUCCUAGCUGGGUCCCCUGGCAGGUUUCUUAACCUUUCUGGGUCUCAGCUGCCUCAUUUGCUACAAGGGGAUGAUAAAAAGAGUGCCCAAGCUGAGGGAGGUUUGGAGCAGAGGUCAGCAAAUUUCUACUGUAAAGAGCCGGUGGUAAAUAUUUCCAGCUUGUGGCCCAGAAGGUCUUUGCCACAGCUACUCUGGAAGCAGUCAUAGAUAUAAAUGAAUGUGCAUGGCUGUGCUCCAAUACAACUUUACUUAUGGACACUGAAAUGUGAGUAUCAUAUAAUUUUCCUGUGUCAUGAAAUCUCAUCCUUUUGAUUUUUUUCAAACCAUUUAAAAAUGUGGGAAUGUUUCUUAGUUUGCAAGCUGUACACAAACAGGUGUGGGGCUGGAUCUGGCUGACCCCUGGUCUAGGGGAUUAAAUGAGUCAGAGCACAUGGCAAGUGCUCAAGAAAGUUUAGUUAUCACUCUCCCCCCACAGGUGAGCAAGCGCAGGGGCAGGGAGGCAG
RNAcentral lists this long non-coding RNA (1073 nucleotides) under Equus caballus (horse). RNAcentral describes it as "lncRNA (ENSECAG00000054638.1)". The record is from RNAcentral. Lineage: Eukaryota; Metazoa; Chordata; Mammalia; Perissodactyla; Equidae.